UGCAUGGCGGCGCAGUUGGUAGCACUGUUGCCUUGCAGCAAGAAAGGUCCUGGGUUCGAUUCCCAGCCAGGGGCUUUCUGCAU
Molecule: non-coding RNA, 83 nt
Organism: Crenichthys baileyi (White River springfish)
Lineage: Eukaryota; Metazoa; Chordata; Actinopteri; Cyprinodontiformes; Goodeidae
Source: the annotation of a GenBank genome assembly